UCGUAACAAGGUCUCCGUAGGUGAACCUGCGGAGGGAUCAUUACAAAUUUAGUGGGGCGUCGGCUUCGGCCGGCGCGUCGCGUCAACCUUUGUGAACCAUCUCUGUUGCCUCGGGGGCGACCCUGCCGUUUCGGCGGUGGGGGCUCCCGGUGGCCCUCUUCAAACACUGCGUUUAUUUGCGUCGGAGUUUAAACAAAUCAAUCAAAACUUUCAACAACGGAUCUCUUGGUUCUGGCAUCGAUGAAGAACGCAGCGAAAUGCGAUAAGUAAUGUGAAUUGCAGAAUUCAGUGAAUCAUCGAAUCUUUGAACGCACAUUGCGCCCUUUGGUAUUCCGAAGGGCAUGCCUGUUCGAGCGUCAUUUCACCACUCAAGCCUGGCUUGGUAUUGGGCGUCGCGGGUCACCGCGCGCCUUAAAGUCUUUCCGGCUGAGCGACCCGUCUCUAAGCGUUGUGGCAACUAUUCGCGGUGAGAUUGGGUGGCGACGGCCGUUAAAUCUUUCUUAAGGUUGACCUCGGAUCAGGUAGGGAUACCCGCUGAACUUAAGCAUAUCAAUAAGACGGAGG
RNAcentral lists this ribosomal RNA (564 nucleotides) under fungal endophyte. RNAcentral's name for it is "eukaryotic LSU rRNA". The stretch from base 206 to 359 matches the Rfam family "5.8S ribosomal RNA". Lineage: Eukaryota; Fungi. The record is from RNAcentral.